ACCGGCAGCCAUAUCACCCUGUAGCCCAAGACUGGUUGCCCACUGAAGCUAAGCAGGGCUGAGCCUGGUCAGUACCUGGAUGGGAGACCUCCUGGGAAAACUAGGUUGCUGCUGGAA
This is a ribosomal RNA of Sinocyclocheilus anshuiensis, 117 nucleotides long. The record is from Ensembl. NCBI's taxonomy places the organism in Eukaryota, Metazoa, Chordata, Actinopteri, Cypriniformes, Cyprinidae.